AAAAAGAUAAGCUAAUUAAGCUAAUAGGUUCAUACCCUUUUCAUGGAAGUAAUAAUCUUCCUCUUUUUA
RNAcentral lists this transfer RNA (69 nucleotides) under Orthetrum glaucum. Its description in RNAcentral is "tRNA-Met". The record is from RNAcentral. Lineage: Eukaryota; Metazoa; Arthropoda; Insecta; Odonata; Libellulidae.